This 71-nucleotide transfer RNA is filed under the name Azospirillum brasilense. RNAcentral's name for it is "tRNA-Val". It matches the Rfam family "tRNA". Rfam says of the family: Transfer RNA (tRNA) molecules are approximately 80 nucleotides in length. Their secondary structure includes four short double-helical elements and three loops (D, anti-codon, and T loops). Lineage: Bacteria; Pseudomonadati; Pseudomonadota; Alphaproteobacteria; Rhodospirillales; Azospirillaceae. The record is from RNAcentral.
GCCGGGUUCGCUCAGCGGUAGAGCGUCUCGUUUACACCGAGGAUGCCGGAGUUCGAUCCCCUCACCCGGAA